Molecule: ribosomal RNA, 271 nt
Filed under: uncultured bacterium
Lineage: Bacteria
Description: partial 16S ribosomal RNA
Rfam family: Bacterial small subunit ribosomal RNA
Source: RNAcentral
CGUGGCAUCUUAGUGGCGGACGGGUGAGUAACGCGUGGGUAACCUGCCUUAUACAGGGGGAUAACACUUAGAAAUAGGUGCUAAUACCGCAUAAGCGCACGGGGCUACAUGGCCCAGUGUGAAAAACUCCGGUGGUAUAAGAUGGACCCGCGUCUGCUUAGCUUGUUGGCGGGGUAACGGCCCACCAAGGCGACGAUCAGUAGCCGGCCUGAGAGGGUGGACGGCCACAUUGGGACUGAGACACGGCCCAAACUCCUACGGGAGGCAGCAG